This 466-nucleotide ribosomal RNA is filed under the name uncultured bacterium. Its description in RNAcentral is "partial 16S ribosomal RNA". It matches the Rfam family "Bacterial small subunit ribosomal RNA", at positions 28 to 507 of the family's 1533-position model. The record is from RNAcentral.
GAUGAACGCUGGCGGCGUGCUUAACACAUGCAAGUCGAACGGAAAGGCCCAAGCUUGCUUGGGUACUCGAGUGGCGAACGGGUGAGUAACACGUGGGUGAUCUGCCCUGCACUUCGGGAUAAGCCCGGGAAACUGGGUCUAAUACCGGAUAGGACCACAUUUUGGAUGGUGUGGUGGAAAGUUUUUCGGUGUGGGAUGAGCUCGCGGCCUAUCAGCUUGUUGGUGGGGUAAUGGCCUACCAAGGCGUCGACGGGUAGCCGGCCUGGGAGGGUGUACGGCCACAUUGGGACUGGGAUACGGCCCAGACUCCUACGGGAGGGAGCAGUGGGGAAUAUUGCACAAUGGGCGCGAGCCUGAUGCAGCGACGCCGCGUGGGGGAUGACGGCCUUCGGGUUGUAAACUCCUUUCGCUAGGGACGAAGCGUUAUGUGACGGUACCUGGAGAAGAAGCACCGGCUAACUACGUG